UAGGGAAUCUUCGGCAAUGGGGGGAACCCUGACCGAGCAACGCCGCGUGAGUGAAGAAGGUUUUCGGAUCGUAAAGCUCUGUUGUUAAGGAAGAACGAGUGUGAGAAUGGAAAGUUCAUGCUGUGACGGUACUUAACCAGAAAGGGACGGCUAACUACGUGCCAGCAGCCGCGGUAAUACGUAGGUCCCGAGCGUUGUCCGGAUUUAUUGGGCGUAAAGCGAGCGCAGGCGGUUAGAAAAGUCUGAAGUGAAAGGCAGUGGCUCAACCAUUGUAGGCUUUGGAAACUGUUUAACUUGAGUGCAGAAGGGGAGAGUGGAAUUCCAUGUGAAACGGUGAAAUGCGUAGAUAUAUGGAGGAACACCGGUGGCGAAAGCGGCUCUCUGGUCUGUAACUGACGCUGAGGCUCGAAAGCGUGGGGAGCGAACAGG
This 429-nucleotide ribosomal RNA is filed under the name Bacteroidota bacterium. RNAcentral's name for it is "Bacteroidetes bacterium partial 16S ribosomal RNA". It matches the Rfam family "Bacterial small subunit ribosomal RNA", at positions 355 to 776 of the family's 1533-position model. The record is from RNAcentral. Lineage: Bacteria; Pseudomonadati; Bacteroidota.